GCUCAAUUGGAUAGAGCAGGCCCGUCCUAAGGGCAAGGUUGAGAGUUCGAGUCUCUCCGUCGGCGCCA
Molecule: transfer RNA, 68 nt
Filed under: Candidatus Woykebacteria bacterium RIFCSPLOWO2_01_FULL_41_12
Lineage: Bacteria; Candidatus Woykeibacteriota
Description: tRNA-Arg
Rfam family: tRNA
About the family: Transfer RNA (tRNA) molecules are approximately 80 nucleotides in length. Their secondary structure includes four short double-helical elements and three loops (D, anti-codon, and T loops). Further hydrogen bonds mediate the characteristic L-shaped molecular structure. tRNAs have two regions of fundamental functional importance: the anti-codon, which is responsible for specific mRNA codon recognition, and the 3' end, to which the tRNAs corresponding amino acid is attached (by aminoacyl-tRNA synthetases). tRNAs cope with the degeneracy of the genetic code in two manners: having more than one tRNA (with a specific anti-codon) for a particular amino acid; and 'wobble' base-pairing, i.e. permitting non-standard base-pairing at the 3rd anti-codon position.
Source: RNAcentral